Molecule: long non-coding RNA, 2575 nt
Organism: Homo sapiens (human)
Lineage: Eukaryota; Metazoa; Chordata; Mammalia; Primates; Hominidae
Gene: PCBP1-AS1
Product: PCBP1 antisense RNA 1
Source: Ensembl
CUCCUGCCCUUGUGUCGUUUCCACCGCGGCACCCUUUUCCGACAUUAGAAACAAUAGUGUACGCCUGUGGAGGCCUCGUUUGUUCAGGGGCUGCCGGCCAGGGCUUCAGGACGUUUCUGCGGCUUUCCCCGCGCGGCCUGGGCUCCCGCGGCUGCUUUUCGGGCCCAUGGGCGCAGCCACUGCGCCAGGCUCAAGGGGGGCGGCCCCGUCAGGGCCCGCCAUCUUGGAAGGCCUUUUUUGCCGGUUCUUCCCGCUGAGGAAGUGUCGCUCAAGACGCUGGCCUAUGAGUUGUGAUUUCUGCCUUUUCCCCUUCCUCCUUGGGCUAAGCCAGACCAGAAAGGGCCCCGUGCGCAACGUGCUUCACAAUCUCUCAGGGAAAGCGGCUAACGUGGCGCUACUCCGCCUCCCCUGUUCCUUACCCUUGGGGCGGCCGCCAUGUUUCCUGAACACAAAAUGGCGACACGUGGUUAGCAUUCGUCGCCAACGAGAAAUUGGGGUCGGCCCGAAAGCUCUAGAAUGCACCCCUCUUCCUCCCCGGGGCCUUCCACCUCCGCGAGUUUUAUGACUUAAAAAAGCCCACAGGCUGGUCUGAAGGUCGGAGGCCUAAUUUUAACGCGUUUUCCUCCCUUUAAUUUGAAACGGGAACGCGAAUGACUGUAAAAUGUGGGCACAAUAUUUAAUCUCUCGCCUUUUUAAAGCUUAAUAGUGGAUAAUAGGGGGGCAGUAUCAAGGGAUAAUUUGGGUCCCCACAGUACCAAAGCAUUUAGAAACCUCUGUUUAAUUUAAGGAAUGAGAUAAGUUACUGCUUUUCUAGACUUCCUAGCAUGGGCUGUUGUGCUGGAGAGAACGAGAGCUACGAAGAGACUACAGUGCCUCUGACUUUUUCAUAGGACAGUUGGCCGAGGAAGACAAACAUAAAGAUGAAGUGCUUAAUUCAAGGUCACACAAUGUCGGGGAUGGACCUCCAGAUUUCCUUACUGACCUGCAUUAUCUUGUGGAUACCUGAGUGAAUUCCACACCACCCAUUUUAUAGAUGAAACCACUGAGACAUGGAGCAAUUGACUGAGUAGUCACUGCCCCACCCCUGCCUGGAGCCUCACACAUGACUCGCCUCCUCUCAGUGACCACAGGAAAACAAGCUCAGGGCUCCCACUGAUUGUACAUUAUGAGACGGAGUCUUGCUAUGUUGCCCAGGCUGGUCUUGAACUCCUCACCUCAAGCGAUCCUCCCGUCUUGGCCUCCCAAGUGUCAGGAUUACGGGCAUGUGCUAUCACACCCAACCUGAUACAUUGCCUUUAUAAAUUUUUUUUUCUUUAUUCUAAAAACCAGAAAAAACAAAACUGGAUACAUGUGCAGAACAUGCAGACCAAGUGUGUUGGGGACUUGAGAUGCGUACAUGAGUGUGAUGUUUCCUGCUGAAAGCACAGGUGAGACGUGGUCUUGUAACACAGUGGUUAAGAAUGUGACUUUGGAGCCAGCCUGCUAGGGGCUGAAUUCUGACUCAGCCAUUUACUAACUGUGUGACCUUAGGCUGGAGUGCAAUGGCAUGAUCUCGGCUCAUCACAACCUCUGCUUCCUGGGUUCAAGCGAUUCUCCUGCCUCAGCCUCCCGAGUACCUGGGACUACAGGCACUCGCCACCAUGCCCGGCUGAUUUUUGUAUUUUUAAUAGAGAUGGUUUCACUAUGUUGGCCAGGCUGGUCUCGAACUCCUGACCUUGUGAUCUGCCCACCUCAGCCUCGAAAAGUGCUGGGAUUACAGGCGUGAGCCACUGCGCCCAGCCUUGUAUUUUUUUUCAGUUUGGGUAGCUGUCCCUAAUUCAUUUGUUAAAGGAGAAGCAAGAGCAAGAACCUUUAAUCUGUUCUCCUCUUCCCUAAUUUGAAAGUAGCUUGUUAUUUUGAAUAUCACUUUCUCUGAAAUAGCACAUCUCCAUCUCAGAGAAUGGAUUUAAUGUUUGGAUACAGCCAAAAGUCAUUUCAUUACCAAACCAUGGGGUGAAUAUACCAUGUAAAGCAGUUUGGGAUCAGAACUCACAGUCUGAAUUGUAAGUGAUGAGACUGCUGUCUCUCUGCUACAGCUUCUUGGCUGGCUCUGAAGGCUCUUUGAAGGCAGAUCCUAACAAGGGGACUGCUUUGAAGGGCCAUUGUUCAUUUGGAAUGAUAAAGUCUAUGUUGUUCAAAAAACAAAUGCUUGUAGCAGGUAUUUUUUCACUCCAGACUGAGAAUAUUGGUGGGAUAUUGAUAAGGGGUACUGAAUGGUAAUAAACAUGUGCUCUAGCUCUGUGCUAGUCAGCUUAUUUCAGAACUCUAGUUUGAUUCAGUUUCUUGCCUCUGACUCAAAAUGGAGGGAGAGUGAUUUUUACAUAAGAGAACACACCCACAUAUCCUUUUGGCAGCAGCUACCUGCCAGAGAUGUUGAAGAAGAGUAGCCAACCUUUACACAGCAGAUAUUGUGUGCCAGUCAUAGUCCUAAGUAUAAUACCUUACAUGUAUAAACUUCUUAUAAGGUUGGUGCUCUGUACCGAAUUGAAUAGUAUCCCCCAAAAUUCAUGUUGUCCCAGAACCUAUGAAAGUGAUC